AUUGAACGCUGGCGGCAUGCCUUACACAUGCAAGUCGAACGGCAGCACGGGAGCAAUCCUGGUGGCGAGUGGCGAACGGGUGAGUAAUACAUCGGAACGUGCCCAGUCGUGGGGGAUAACGUAGCGAAAGCUACGCUAAUACCGCAUACGAUCUGUGGAUGAAAGCGGGGGGACCGUAAGGCCUCGCGCGAUUGGAGCGG
RNAcentral lists this ribosomal RNA (200 nucleotides) under uncultured bacterium. RNAcentral's name for it is "partial 16S ribosomal RNA". It matches the Rfam family "Bacterial small subunit ribosomal RNA", at positions 30 to 229 of the family's 1533-position model. The record is from RNAcentral.